Molecule: non-coding RNA, 87 nt
Filed under: Pseudomonas sp. WPR_5_2
Lineage: Bacteria; Pseudomonadati; Pseudomonadota; Gammaproteobacteria; Pseudomonadales; Pseudomonadaceae
Source: RNAcentral
GUAGGAGCAAAGCUUGCUCGCGUUGACGGUGUGUCAGUCGACAUGUAUUUUGAAUGUUCCGCCAUCGCGAGCAAGCUUUGCUCCUAC